UGCAGAAUCCCGUGAACCAUCGAGUCUUUGAACGCAAGUUGCGCCCCAAGCCUUAUGGCCGAGGGCACGUCUGCCUGGGUGUCACAAAUCGUCGUCCCCCUCAUCCAUUGCGGAUUCGGGACGGAAGCUGGUCUCCCGUGUGUUACCGCACGCGGUUGGCCUAAAUCAGAGCCAAGGACGCCGGGAGCGUCCCGACAUUCGGUGGUGAACUCGAUCCACUUUGCUAUCGUCGGCCGUUCCUGUCUAGAAGCUCUAUAUUACCCAAAGUCNUCAAAGCGACCCCAGGUCAGGCGGGAUCACCCGCUGAGUUUAAGCAUAUCAAUAAGCGGAGGAAAAGAAACUAACAAGGAUUCCCUUAGUAACGGCGAGCGAACCGGGAAGAGCCCAGCUUGAAAAUCGGACGUCCUCGGCGUUCGA
Molecule: ribosomal RNA, 417 nt
Filed under: Turritis glabra (tower rockcress)
Lineage: Eukaryota; Viridiplantae; Streptophyta; Magnoliopsida; Brassicales; Brassicaceae
Description: eukaryotic LSU rRNA
Rfam family: Eukaryotic large subunit ribosomal RNA (bases 277-417)
Source: RNAcentral